RNAcentral lists this ribosomal RNA (65 nucleotides) under Pteropus alecto (black flying fox). The record is from RNAcentral. Lineage: Eukaryota; Metazoa; Chordata; Mammalia; Chiroptera; Pteropodidae.
GUCUAUAGCCAUGCCACCCUAAAUGUACCCGAUCUCGUCAGAUCUUGGAAGCUAAGCAGGGUCGG